GCAUUCUGAUUUUUUCUAGUAGAGGAAGAGUCCUUCUACUUGUUAAAGACCUCUCAUUCCAUGCCUUAACCCAUGGGAUUCCAUGCUAAAAAUUGAUUUUAGCAUGUAAGGGAGGUGGGACGCCAACCUUGUAAAAAUAUGUGGCGCCCCUUCAUUCCUUAUAUAAGGGGCACCCCAUAUGGCAUAAACUCUCAUCCAAAAGGUGGUUUGGACAUGGGAUU
Molecule: long non-coding RNA, 221 nt
Filed under: Elaeis guineensis (African oil palm)
Lineage: Eukaryota; Viridiplantae; Streptophyta; Magnoliopsida; Arecales; Arecaceae
Description: long non-coding RNA (EGUI_LNC050736)
Source: RNAcentral